RNAcentral lists this ribosomal RNA (825 nucleotides) under uncultured Pseudomonadota bacterium. RNAcentral describes it as "bacterial SSU rRNA". It matches the Rfam family "Bacterial small subunit ribosomal RNA", at positions 28 to 882 of the family's 1533-position model. Lineage: Bacteria; Pseudomonadati; Pseudomonadota. The record is from RNAcentral.
AACGAACGCUGGCGGCAUGCUUAACACAUGCAAGUCGAACGUUCUUGCCUUUAUGGUAAGGAAGUGGCGCACGGGUGAGUAACAUGUGGGAACCUACCUUUUAGUAUGGGAUAACAUUUGGAAACGAAUGCUAAUACCGUAUACGUCCUAUUGAUUGGUUAUUUGAUAGGGGAAAGAUUUAUCGCUAAGAGAUGGGCCCGCACUAGAUUAGCUAGUUGGUGGGGUAAGAGCUUACCAAGGCGACGAUCUAUAGCUGGUCUGAGAGGAUGAUCAGCCACACUGGGACUGAGAACGGCCCAGACUCCUACGGGAGGCAGCAGUGGGGAAUAUUGGACAAUGGGGGCAACCCUGAUCCAGCAAUGCCGCGUGAGUGAAGAAGGCCUUCGGGUUGUAAAGCUCUUUCACUGGAGAAGAUGAUGACGGUAUCCAGAGAAGAAGCCCCGGCUAACUUCGUGCCAGCAGCCGCGGUAAUACGAAGGGGGCUAGCGUUGUUCGGAAUUACUGGGCGUAAAGGGCGCGUAGGCGGUUAGAUAAGUUAGAUGUGAAAUCCCGAUGCUUAACGUCGGAACUGCAUUUAAAACUGUUUAGCUAGAAUACAAGAGAGGACAGUGGAAUUCCUAGUGUAGAGGUGAAAUUCGUAGAUAUUAGGAAGAACAUCGGAGGCGAAGGCGGCUGUCUGGCUUGAUAUUGACGCUGAGGCGCGAAAGCGUGGGUAGCAAACAGGAUUAGAUACCCUGGUAGUCCACGCUGUAAACGAUGAGUGCUAGACGUUGGAAAUCAUUUCAGUGUCGUAGCUAACGCGAUAAGCACUCCGCCUGGGGAGUA